This 868-nucleotide long non-coding RNA is filed under the name Marmota monax (woodchuck). The record is from RNAcentral. Lineage: Eukaryota; Metazoa; Chordata; Mammalia; Rodentia; Sciuridae.
CAGAGCAGCCGGAGAUCCCUUCCCAGCUUGCCCCACAGGGUCAAAGUCCAGACCUGGCCUCUCACCAGCUGGCUGAACCCACCUAGCCCAGCAUACUGCCUGCUGCGAGGACUGCAACCUUUAUUUAAAGUACUUACUUGUUUUCCUUGGAUGAAUUCUCUGAGUUAGCACCACAAUUCCUCAAGGGUCUAGAAGGACUGGUGGCUAGUCCUAGGGGCGGAAAGGCAGGUGGCAUGCAGUAGACGCUAGCGAGGCCACUGUCAUGUAGAAUGCCCAGCUUCCCCAGCUUCUGCUAUCUUGGGCAAAACAGCAGCAGCCUUGGGGCUGAGUUGCUGUAGCAGCAGCAGCAGCAUCACCGAAUGGUGGCCUCUGGUGACAGCAAUAAGCAGCUGCUUCCUGCAUAGGGAGUUGAGCAUUGGCGUUGGGGCAUCUGUGGAGGCAUCAUCUGGAUGGUUUGGGAGUGUGUUUGCAAGGUGGUCCAGUGGUGGUAUCAGUGAAAGAGUCCAGAAGUGUGGUGGGGGCAACAGAGGCUUCCAGCCAUAAGCAGUUUUGUCCUGCAUUGCUAACAGGAGUCCCGCUGCAGUUGCAAUAAAGUUCGGCAUCCAGUACUGAGUAUCACUGUCUGGCAUCCAUGUUGGAGUCUGGUGGCAGAAACAUGGAGCUCCAAAGUCUGGUGUGGCAGUAGCAACAUGCAGCUGCAUCAGGGUCUGGUGUCAAAUAUAGGACCUCGGGGGUGUCACCAUGGAGUGACGUGCAUUGACGUUGGGGCAUAGGUGGGCAGCGUAGGUGUCCAGCUGGGGUUUGGGAGUUCAGUUUAUGUGUGAUGGUGGUGGCACCAGAGAGUCCGGAAGCUGAUGCAGUGGCAACA